GUACCAUGCAGUCGACGGUAGCACAGAGGAGCUUGCUCCUUGGGUGACGAGUGGCGGACGGGUGAGUAAUGUCUGGGAAACUGCCCGAUGGAGGGGGAUAACUACUGGAAACGGUAGCUAAUACCGCAUAACGUCGCAAGACCAAAGAGGGGGACCUUCGGGCCUCUUGCCAUCGGAUGUGCCCAGAUGGGAUUAGCUAGUAGGUGGGGUAACGGCUCACCUAGGCGACGAUCCCUAGCUGGUCUGAGAGGAUGACCAGCCACACUGGAACUGAGACACGGUCCAGACUCCUACGGGAGGCAGCAGUGGGGAAUAUUGCACAAUGGGCGCAAGCCUGAUGCAGCCAUGCCGCGUGUAUGAAGAAGGCCUUCGGGUUGUAAAGUACUUUCAGCGAGGAGGAAGGUGUUGUGGUUAAUAACCGCAGCAAUUGACGUUACUCGCAGAAAAAGCACCGGCUAACUCCGUGCCAGCAGCCGCGGUAAUACGGAGGGUGCAAGCGUUAAUCGGAAUUACUGGGCGUAAAGCGCACGCAGGCGGUCUGUCAAGUCGGAUGUGAAAUCCCCGGGCUCAACCUGGGAACUGCAUCCGAAACUGGCAGGCUAGAGUCUUGUAUAGGGGGGUAGAAUUCCAGGUGUAGCGGUGAAAUGCGUAUAGAUCUGGAGGAAUACCGGUGGCGAAGGCGGCCCCCUGGACAAAGACUGACGCUCACGUGCGAAAGCGUGUGGAGCAAACAGGAUUAGAUACCCUGGUAGUCCACGCCGUAAACGAUGUCGACUUGUAGGUUGUGCCCUUGAGGCGUGUCUUCCGGAGCUAACGCGUUAAGUCGACCGCCUGGGGGAGUACGGCCGCAAGGUGAAAACUCAAAUGAAUUGACGGGGGGCCCGCACAGCGGUGGAGCAUGUGAUGUAUUCUAUGCAAAGCGAAGAACAUACCUACUCUUGACUCCAUAGAACUUCUAGAGAGGCUUUGGGGCCUUCUGGGAACUCUGAGACAGUGCUGCAUGGUGUGUCUUCUCUU
This 1017-nucleotide ribosomal RNA is filed under the name Citrobacter freundii. RNAcentral describes it as "bacterial SSU rRNA". It matches the Rfam family "Bacterial small subunit ribosomal RNA", at positions 51 to 1060 of the family's 1533-position model. The record is from RNAcentral. Lineage: Bacteria; Pseudomonadati; Pseudomonadota; Gammaproteobacteria; Enterobacterales; Enterobacteriaceae.